UCCCUGGAGGACUAGUGGUUAGGAGAGAGCGCUCUCACUGAAGUGGCCUGGGUUCACUUCCCAGCCAGGGAA
This is a non-coding RNA of Pangasius djambal, 72 nucleotides long. Lineage: Eukaryota; Metazoa; Chordata; Actinopteri; Siluriformes; Pangasiidae. The record is from the annotation of a GenBank genome assembly.